UUGCUUCUCUUGAGAGCGGCGGACGGGUGAGCAAUGCCUAGGAAUCUGCCUAGUGGUGGGGGAUAACGUUCGGAAACGGACGCUAAUACCGCAUACGUCCUACGGGAGAAAGCGGGGGAUCUUCGGACCUCGCGCCAUUAGAUGAGCCUAGGUCGGAUUAGCUAGUUGGUGAGGUAAUGGCUCACCAAGGCGACGAUCCGUAACUGGUCUGAGAGGAUGAUCAGUCACACUGGAACUGAGACACGGUCCAGACUCCUACGGGAGGCAGCAGUGGGGAAUAUUGGACAAUGGGCGAAAGCCUGAUCCAGCCAUGCCGCGUGUGUGAAGAAGGUCUUCGGAUUGUAAAGCACUUUAAGUUGGGAGGAAGGGUAGUAACUUAAUACGUUGCUACUUUGACGUUACCGACAGAAUAAGCACCGGCUAACUUCGUGCCAGCAGCCGCGGUAAUACGAAGGGUGCAAGCGUUAAUCGGAAUUACUGGGCGUAAAGCGCGCGUAGGUGGUUCAGUAAGUUGGAAGUGAAAUCCCCGGGCUCAACCUGGGAACUGCUUUCAAAACUGCUGAGCUAGAGUACGGUAGAGGGUGGUGGAAUUUCCUGUGUAGCGGUGAAAUGCGUAGAUAUAGGAAGGAACACCAGUGGCGAAGGCGACCACCUGGACUGAUACUGACACUGAGGUGCGAAAGCGUGGGGAGCAAACAGGAUUAGAUACCCUGGUAGUCCACGCCGUAAACGAUGUCAACUAGCCGUUGGAAUCCUUGAGAUUUUAGUGGCGCAGCUAACGCAUUAAGUUGACCGCCU
Molecule: ribosomal RNA, 798 nt
Filed under: uncultured bacterium
Lineage: Bacteria
Description: bacterial SSU rRNA
Rfam family: Bacterial small subunit ribosomal RNA
Source: RNAcentral